Cottoperca gobio is the source of this 2136-nucleotide long non-coding RNA. RefSeq lists it as uncharacterized. The transcript has 3 exons. The record is from RefSeq and is a predicted model, not a curated record. Lineage: Eukaryota; Metazoa; Chordata; Actinopteri; Perciformes; Bovichtidae.
CAUUUGCAUAACAGGUUAAAAGUAAACCAGGCUUCCUCUACCACUCACUGUGUGAUGGAUAUUUGGAAGGACGCCUUGACAACAUGACAAAAGAACAACCCGAUCCACUUCAAGUAGCCAUGGGAUCUCCCCUCCUCUCCUAGUCGAUGCACUCGCUCCAGCAGCUCCCACUUCUCGCAGCAGCCGGAGUAAUUGACAAAGUUCCUGGCGAGAAUCUCUUUCAGCUGGCGGACAGAGAGGUUCUCUAUCGCCUCUUCAUUGUCCAGAUCAGACAGCGAGGCCCUGAUCCUCCUCUGUGUCGCCGGACUGACCUACAAUCACCACAGGAAACAGAGCUGCGGUCAACAACACCGACGGCAUUCCUUGGAAGCCUCGUCAGUCUACAAUAAUCUUUGUUCUCCUACUAUGAACACUAUUUAGUACCGUUAAUGUGCAAAGAACAAACAAGUAUUGUACCUCCAUUAAAGUUUCAGUGGGCUCCAGGUUCAAGAGAGAUGCUGUUGGAGUAUCCUCCUGUUCCUGUUUGAGUAGAAAUCAACAGUUUAAAUUCUCAUCACAGCAUUUAACAUACUGGUUUAAACACCAAAUCAAUCAACAAGAUUCUUAUAGCUCCAUAUGACGACCAAUGCCACGAUAAAAGGACUUCACGGCUCUCUACUAUCUAAUUCUUUAAACUUGAUAUCUCAUGAAAGAAUGUUUAAAAGGAGAUGUUUAAACACUGACUCAGCGGUUCAUUAUUCUCUUUGAAGGUGGAGGUCGGGAAUUUGCCAGAGGAGAGUAAAUGGAGCUACAGAACAGAGCAGACUGUUUGGCAUGAGUGUAUAGUUCUGUGUUAUCUCAGGGAAGAUAGCGCCUCUUUAUUAAUGUAUCCGGCAGCGUCGCGCAGCUUGAUGCCUGCCUCCACCACAUCACGCUUUUACUCAGGCUCCACUCCUCAGAGAACACGAGCAGCAGCCCGACACAAUCAAAGUGCCGAACCUUUAGAUCUAAUUCUAACAUUUCAAACAUGUGGAAGUACUAGAAAGCACUCAGAGAGCGCAGAUUUCUGUCAAAGCUGCUAAAUUUGUUAUUUGAGAAUAAAAACAAAUAUUGAGAAAUGUUUCAUCUGCAUGUUGAUCGACAGUCAUGUCAUCAAUAGUUGACGAGGAAAUACUGAAAAUGCUAAAAAGGGGGCAAGAAAACUUGACAAAACCGCGCCAUAACGCCAAUAUAUUUAGUAUUAAUAACUUGAACAGUGCUAUAAAAUACUUCACACAAGAAAAUUAGAAAAGGUUCCUGGAUUUUGCCUUAAAAUGUGUCCCGACCACUAAAGAAAUACACAUAACGGCUACGUUAUAUUCUACCUGUCUCUGUGUCGUGCUUUUGGGUUCAGGUCUGUCGGUUCCAGCGAACCUUACAGUUUCAAAGUAACGAAUCCUUGAAGGAAUUUGUUAUUUCAAGAAACAAAAAGAACUCAAACCAAGAGAUGGAAAAAGAGAUGAUGUAUGGGGGAUAAGAAGAGGGAUGUUUUGUAGUGUUUCUGUUGUAUGUUGCAGCUGUGAUGCAGUGGGGAGUUCUCAACCUGGGCGCCCGUUAUAUAACAGACUCAGCCUAUGUAACAGACCUAAAAAAAAAGCAAAGGGCUUAAGCUGCAUUGCUGGUUACUGCCCUCAGACCAUCCAUGUACACACACACACACACACACAUGUACACGUGCACACACAGCUGUCAUGUACACAUUCUGCUCAACACAGCUCUGCAAAUCUGAGCUUCUGAUCGUUUCAAUGUAGGAAAAAGAAUCCAAUGAAAUGCCAUAGAUUUUCUGGGCGAAACACGAGAUCAUAGAGACACAGAAGACAGGAAGUGAGGAAUAAAGCAUGAAAUGCAAUGAAUGAAACAACAUCUAAGAAGAAAUGCACGAGAGAGGGCAUUUGUUUAUAAGGGAGUUGAAAGUCUCUUGACUUUGACACUUGUAAAUAAACAGAUUUCACCUUUGCAAUUAAUUAUCUCGGAUAGAAUGAGGACAGAUGUGAAGGAAGCACGGUGUAUGCACAUUAGAGAAUGAGAGAGCGUAUGCUUGUGUGUGGCUGCACAGUGCACAGCGUUGGCUCUGCAUGCAGACACGCACUGAACAUCAGCCGUGUGUCUAACCUGGCU